AUUGAACGCUGGCGGCAUGCUUUACACAUGCAAGUCGAACGGCAGCGCGGGGCAACCUGGCGGCGAGUGGCGAACGGGUGAGUAAUAUAUCGGAACGUACCCAGAAGUGGGGGAUAACGUAGCGAAAGUUACGCUAAUACCGCAUACGAUCUACGGAUGAAAGUGGGGGACCUUCGGGCCUCAUGCUUUUGGAGCGGCCGAUAUCUGAUUAGCUAGUUGGUGAGGUAAAGGCUCACCAAGGCGACGAUCAGCAGCUGGUCUGAGAGGACGACCAGCCACACUGGGACUGAGACACGGCCCAGACUCCUACGGGAGGCAGCAGUGGGGAAUUUUGGACAAUGGGGGGCAACCCUGAUCCAGCAAUGCCGCGUGAGUGAAGAAGGCCUUC
RNAcentral lists this ribosomal RNA (388 nucleotides) under uncultured bacterium. RNAcentral's name for it is "bacterial SSU rRNA". It matches the Rfam family "Bacterial small subunit ribosomal RNA", at positions 30 to 419 of the family's 1533-position model. The record is from RNAcentral.